This 225-nucleotide unclassified non-coding RNA is filed under the name plant metagenome. RNAcentral's name for it is "partial contains small subunit ribosomal RNA, internal transcribed spacer 1, and 5.8S ribosomal RNA". The record is from RNAcentral.
UCUCCGUUGGUGAACCAGCGGAGGGAUCAUUACAGGGCUCGCAAGACUCCUACAACCCUGUGAACUUAACUAUAAGCACGUUGCUUCGGCGGGUGUCUCGGAGGGGGUUCUCCCUCCCCGAGACGCUAAACCCGCCGGCAGCCUACUGUACUCUGUCUCUUUGCGUUGGCAUCUCGAGUACAAUCAAACAAGUUAAAACUUUCAACAACGGAUCUCUUGGUUCUG